Vitis vinifera (wine grape) is the source of this 1063-nucleotide long non-coding RNA. RefSeq lists it as uncharacterized. The record is from RefSeq and is a predicted model, not a curated record. Lineage: Eukaryota; Viridiplantae; Streptophyta; Magnoliopsida; Vitales; Vitaceae. The transcript has 2 exons.
AAGCGAGAAAGAAAGAGGGGUUGGGGGUUUCUUGUCGCAGGAGAGACGGCACUUGCUCUUGUGUAGCAAAUUGCAAGCGGCAAUCGCCGCUCUCCUGUGACAAGAUACCCUUCAGCUUCUUUCCUACAUUCUUCGCCCUACAAAUGUUUCUUAAUUCAUACCAGCUAAGCUGCCAGGCUUGAUUCUUCUAUUGUCUUCUGGAGUGAUAAAAUCAGAUCGUCCAAGCAAAUUCUAGUAUCUUUCAUAAUAGUUUUGUCGGUUAGAUGCUCAGCAAUAUCAGCCGUGGUCAUAUUGGCUUCCCCCAACGACUCACUAAUCUUGGGAAAUAAAGGGUGUGUGGUUCCAUGUUCAGAUAAUUCCUAUCUAGCCAGGACUUUGAAUGCUUCAAAGCUACAGUAGGACAGCUCUACAUGCUUAUCCAUCCGUCAUUUCCAAACCAAAGUUGGGUGAGUAUCACUACAUGAUUAAUUGUAAAGACCAUGAGUCUUUCUCCCACAAGCUGACCACUGCACAUCCGUGAAAUUCUGAACCCCCAGAUAAUUUAACCUUGCUGGUAUGGUACUUCUGUAUUUUUUUUUUUUUUUUUUUUUUACCCUAGAUUCUUCCUUUUGUCCCCUUCUUCAUUCCGCUUUCCACUUUCUGGUCAUGAACUCAUUGAAAGUGAUUUCAAUCUAAAGAUUGAACAAAUUCACCAGUUUCUAAUAGUAUCUCCCCAUUGAAGUCACCAAGGCGCUGAGGGAAGUAGAGCUGAACAUACACACACACAUACACACUAGCCAAACGCAUCCUGGUACUCCAUCUUCGACAUCCUCUCUUCUUCUUCCCUGGUGCUGCUCACCCUCUUCCGCUUGGAAUCAUCCUAGUUGGAUCAAAUUUGAGAUUUUUAUUCGCCUUUUUUUUUGUAUUACAAUUCUUUUUUAUGCGACGGCUAGUAUGAAGAAUAUUUAUUAAAUUUUUUCCUUGUUGACUAGUCAAAUAAGCAAGGGGGUAUUCAGAAUAUUUGUCGUACAACAUAUUUGAAAAAUAAAUUAAAUAAAAUUGUAAGAAAAUGGGUGUUGCUGCA